RNAcentral lists this long non-coding RNA (255 nucleotides) under Elaeis guineensis (African oil palm). Its description in RNAcentral is "long non-coding RNA (EGUI_LNC017169)". The record is from RNAcentral. Lineage: Eukaryota; Viridiplantae; Streptophyta; Magnoliopsida; Arecales; Arecaceae.
UGCAUGCAUAUUUCGGAUGUGCGAUAUCCUAUAAGUGGUAUCGGAGUCAUGGUUAAUUUCAUGUGAUUAAGAUCUGAAAAUCAGAUUUAGUUAUUAGAUUAGAUCUAAUUUAAAUACAUGUGAUGUAUUAGAUUUUGUUUAUACAUAAGAUUUAUAAGUGAUAUGCAUAUGUGAUAUGUGUAGAUAUAGUUAUGUAUGAGAUAUAUAAUCUAUUUUAACAUACAUGAGAUGCAUGUUAAUAGAUCUAAAUAUUGC